AAAGCGUGCGCAGGCGGUUAUGCAAGACAGGUGUGAAAUCCCCGAGCUCAACUUGGGAACUGCACUUGUGACUGCAUAGCUAGAGUACGGUAGAGGGGAGUGGAAUUCCGCGUGUAGCAGUGAAAUGCGUAGAUAUGCGGAGGAACACCGAUGGCGAAGGCAGCUCCCUGGACCUGUACUGACGCUCAUGCACGAAAGCGUGGGGAGCAAACAGGAUUAGAUACCCCAGU
Molecule: ribosomal RNA, 230 nt
Filed under: uncultured bacterium
Lineage: Bacteria
Description: partial 16S ribosomal RNA
Rfam family: Bacterial small subunit ribosomal RNA
Source: RNAcentral